This 318-nucleotide ribosomal RNA is filed under the name haloarchaeon STR17. RNAcentral's name for it is "bacterial SSU rRNA". It matches the Rfam family "Archaeal small subunit ribosomal RNA", at positions 39 to 358 of the family's 1478-position model. Lineage: Archaea; Methanobacteriati; Methanobacteriota; Halobacteria; Halobacteriales. The record is from RNAcentral.
UCGGAUUUAGCCAGUCUAUUGUUAGAAGUUGAUAUUCGUGGGGGAUAGUUCGGAAACCGGUGCCCAAACUCCCUUAAGAUUGAGAAAACUUUGGGGAAAAGAAGGCUAAUUCGCAAUACAGUUUCCAUUCGGGAGUGCAGGAAGCUAGAAAUGCUCCGGCGCCAUAGGAUGUGGCUGCGGCCGAUUAGGUAGACGGUGGGGUAACGGCCCACCGUGCCAGUAAUCGGUACGGGUGAUGAGAGUCAGAGCCCGGAGACGGUAUUUGAGACAAGAUACCGGGCCCUACGGGGCGCAGCAGGCGGGAAACCUUUACACUGC